UAUUGCACCAUGGGCGAAAGCCUGAUGCAGCGACGCCGCGUGAGGGAUGACGGCCUUCGGGUUGUAAACCUCUUUCAGCAGGGAAGAAGCGCAAGUGACGGUACCUGCAGAAGAAGCACCGGCUAACUCCGUGCCAGCAGCCGCGGUAAUACGUAGGGUGCGAGCGUUGUCCGGAAUUAUUGGGCGUAAAGAGCUUGUAGGUGGUUUGUCGCGUCUGCUGUGAAAAUCCGAGGCUCAACCUCGGACUUGCAGUGGGUACGGGCAGACUAGAGUGUGGUAGGGGAGACUGGAAUUCCUGGUGUAGCGGUGGAAUGCGCAGAUAUCAGGAGGAACACCGAUGGCGAAGGCAGGUCUCUGGGCCAUUACUGACACUGAGAAGCGAAAGCAUGGGGAGCGAACAG
RNAcentral lists this ribosomal RNA (401 nucleotides) under uncultured bacterium. RNAcentral's name for it is "bacterial SSU rRNA". It matches the Rfam family "Bacterial small subunit ribosomal RNA", at positions 362 to 775 of the family's 1533-position model. The record is from RNAcentral.